GCGGAUGUGGCGGAACCGGCAGACGCGCUAGCUUCAGGAGCUAGUGGGAGCAAUCCCGUGAGAGUUCAAAUCUCUCCAUCCGCA
This 84-nucleotide transfer RNA is filed under the name Parcubacteria bacterium DG_72. RNAcentral describes it as "tRNA-Leu". It matches the Rfam family "tRNA". Rfam says of the family: Transfer RNA (tRNA) molecules are approximately 80 nucleotides in length. Lineage: Bacteria; Candidatus Parcubacteria. The record is from RNAcentral.